RNAcentral lists this ribosomal RNA (376 nucleotides) under uncultured bacterium. Its description in RNAcentral is "bacterial SSU rRNA". It matches the Rfam family "Bacterial small subunit ribosomal RNA", at positions 524 to 898 of the family's 1533-position model. The record is from RNAcentral.
GACGUAGGGGGCGAGCGUUGUCCGGAAUUACUGGGCGUAAAGAGCACGUAGGCGGAUAUUUAAGUCAGAUGUGAAAGACCGCAGCUCAACUGCGGGGUUGCAUUUGAAACUGGGUAUCUUGAGGGCAGGAGAGGGCAGUGGAAUUCCUGGUGUAGCGGUGAAAUGCGUAGAAAUCAGGAGGAACACCAGUGGCGAAGGCGACUGUCUGGACUGACCCUGACGCUGAGGUGCGAAAGCGUGGGUAGCAAACAGGAUUAGAUACCCUGGUAGUCCACGCCGUAAACGAUGGAUACUAGGUGUAGGAGGUAUCGACCCCUUCUGUGCCGCAGCUAACGCAAUAAGUAUCCCGCCUGGGGAGUACGGUCGCAAGGCUGAA